Molecule: ribosomal RNA, 468 nt
Filed under: uncultured bacterium
Lineage: Bacteria
Description: partial 16S ribosomal RNA
Rfam family: Bacterial small subunit ribosomal RNA
Source: RNAcentral
GACGAACGCUGGCGGCGUGCUUAACACAUGCAAGUCGAACGGAAAGGCCCUGCUUUUGUGGGGUGCUCGAGUGGCGAACGGGUGAGUAACACGUGAGUAACCUGCCCUUGACUUUGGGAUAACUUCAGGAAACUGGGGCUAAUACCGGAUAGGAGCUCCUGCUGCAUGGUGGGGGUUGGAAAGUUUCGGCGGUUGGGGAUGGACUCGCGGCUUAUCAGCUUGUUGGUGGGGUAGUGGCUUACCAAGGCUUUGACGGGUAGCCGGCCUGAGAGGGUGACCGGCCAAAAUGGGACUGGGAUACGGCCCAGAAUCCUACGGGAGGCAGGAGGGGGGAAUAAUUCAACAUGGGCGGAAGCCUGAGUCAGGAAAGCCGGGGGCGGGAUGACGGCCUUUGGGUUGUAAACCGCUUUCGCCUGUGACGAAGCGUGAGUGACGGUAAUGGGUAAAGAAGCACCGGCUAACUACGUG